Chenopodium quinoa (quinoa) is the source of this 2610-nucleotide long non-coding RNA. RefSeq lists it as uncharacterized. The transcript is spliced from 7 exons. The record is from RefSeq and is a predicted model, not a curated record. Lineage: Eukaryota; Viridiplantae; Streptophyta; Magnoliopsida; Caryophyllales; Amaranthaceae.
UUAAUUAAUUGGGGUAGUUACUUAGACGAUUAGGGGUUACUUGAUCAGGGGUUACUCGAUUGAUUAGGGUUUAUUCAGUUAGAAAUUACUCCAUCGGUCAGGAGUUUUGGUGUGUGUCAAGUUAACCAGCGUGACAAGGCUAGCUUGUUACUCGUAAAUCAUACUCCGUAUUUUUCUAACAAUCAACAAUAUUAACCCUAGAAAUAAACAACUCUAAACUAGACAAAGUGUUUUUAUUUUUUAUUUUUUAUUUUUUUGACUGAAUUCUUGGUCUCCCUCAGUCUCGUUUAUCCUGGUUUGUUGUUUUCUUUGAAUGCUGAAUCAGUAGGCUGUGGUCUUCUCCUCCCCCGAAUUUCCUCACAAUUUCUUUGACUACUAUCAACUUUAUUCUCCUCACAAUAAUACUCUCCUUCUCCCCGACUAAUUUAGGGCUUAAAGCUUAAACAAUCUUCAAUGGCGGACGACGAUUACAAUAUGGGAUAAACGAACCCUAAAGCAAUUCAGGGAAACUACACAAUUUGACUAUCUCUAAAUCAAUACUCAAUUUGAUGGUUUUUCAAACUUGAAUGGAGUAGCAGGAGCAAAACCGUGGCUCAAGAAUGACCCUUGGAAAAUUACAGGUUGUAGGGGGCUAGUAUUCAAACAACUUGUAAAGGAAGUACAAAAAGAAUUUCAAGGGAAGCAAAGAGAGUUCGAGGCUAACAAGAAACGGGGGCUAGUAUCUCAGUGUUCAUCACCCAGAGCUCUUUCCAGUCACCAUUUCUUCUCUUGUUUUUAUCACUGGCGGUCUCACAGGUUUUUUUUGCCAUCUUUUUCUCUCCAAUCUUUGGUAAAAUUUGAUGUUAUUGAGCUUUGUUUUUGUGGGUUUUGCUUUGAUUUUUAAUGGGUUUAGUUGGAUUUUAGAAUUGGGUUUGCUUUAAUUCUUAGAAUUGUAGUUUAGGUUGGUGUAAAUAAAGGAUUUAAAUUUUGAAAUUGAAGAGAUGUUUGAAUUGUAGUUAAAGUUGAAAUGCUCAUGAAUUCUCAAGACAUUGACUUUGUGAGUGUUAAAGAAAGUCGAUGUUCAGCAUACAUUGACUUUGGUGAUCUGCAACUACUGCUAGAAUCUAGUUGAGAGUUGACUCUGAAAUAACCUUCUUUUACUUAUUUGAUGACUUGAUGAGAAGUGUAUUUUGUUAGGCUUCUGAUUGCUCUCUUCUCUUAUUUAUAUCGUUCUCUCUCCCCGUUGACUUCUGACUAACCUCCUAUUUGAUUUCAUGUGUAUCUUUAUUUCAUCAUUUGAAAACGGUUUUGGUGAAUUAGUUUCAUAUGAUUCUAUAUUUAAUCAUUUGAAACGGCUUUGGUGACUGGUUUGCGUUAAUGAAAGGCAAAGAAGAGAGAAUCAGGAUAUUUGGAUAUUGCAAGCAGUUUGUUUUAGCAGAAAAAGCUAUAAUGGUUUGAUUAUGACACUCCCUCUCCUAUUUAAUGGUUUAAGCUAACUACAGAUUAUGAGAGUAGAAUUGUCAAAAUACCGAGAAACAUGUAAAUGGAGAGUAAGAAUGCUUAAUUGAAUAGCUCUCAUGAAACCUAACCUGCCAUUUAAGAAAAAAGAAGAUGAAACCCCGUUGUGGCAUUGCAGAUUCCGUGCAACGGUUGAUCAUGAAAUGCUCCCCUUAAGUAAAUUUACACUCUUUAGUGGUGAAUUGUUAGAUAUGUUUAUGGGGCAGAUUGAAUGCUUCCAUACUGUCGCUUCAUUAGCAUAUGGGUUUAGAAGAAGAAUAAAGAGACGAUUUUGGUUUUCGAUCUUGGAGGUAGUAAUUUUAAUGUUUCGGGUGAGUUCUUUAAAAAGAAAAACUCCAAUAGUUUACUUUUUGAUGCUGUACAUCAGAUUUUCUUACAUUGCAACUCUUUCUGCCUUUUGCAAUUCUUGAGGUUGGAGACGGAGUUUCAAGGUGUUAUCUACAUCAGGUGACUCAUUUGGGUGGCGAUGACUCUGAUAAGAAUGGUAAAUUGGCUAGCAGAAACUUUCAAGAAGAAUGAGGAUAUUGAUCUUCGGGAUGACAGACAAGCUCUUUGGCGUCUAUCUAAAGCUGUUGAGAAGGCAAAGAUUGAGCUUUUGACUUUAACUCGUAUUAGCAUUAGGCAAGUAAAUGUGUAUAAUUAUAAAAAGAGCAAAGUUCAAAGAGUUAUGUUCAGACUUGCUUGGAAGAUUAAAGACACCUGUUGAAACUGCUUUAGAGGACGCUCAAGUAUCAAUUAAAGACAUAGACGAUGUUAUCCUUGUUGAUACCAGCUGUACGGGAUGUUGUGAAAAAGAUGGCAAGACCGACCUGAAUUGCACUGUCAACCCUGAUGAAGUAGUAGCCCUUGGUGCUGCUAUUCAGGUUGAUGAUGAUGUUAGUCUACAACAAUGCUAAGGAGGAUUUGAAGCCAGUGAAAGAUACAGACCAUAUGAAUGUUGCUCAAUCUCAGGAUGAUUUUAUUGUGCAACAAAGGAUAGUGCUUUUUAUUUUUAAUCAAAGGUAGCUUUUAUUUCCACAAAGAAUAUUCGGUAGAAAAUGCGGCAUUUAUUGUUGUAUACAAGUUUAAGGCAUAUGGUACAAAUAUAUGUGUAAGGAAUAUUUCAAGCGUUAA